AUUGAACGCUGGCGGCAGGCCUAACACAUGCAAGUCGAGCGGCAGCGGGAAAGUAGCUUGCUACUUUUGCCGGCGAGCGGCGGACGGGUGAGUAAUGCCUGGGAAAUUGCCCAGUAGAGGGGGAUAACAGUUGGAAACGACUGCUAAUACCGCAUACGCCCUAAGGGGGAAAGCAGGGGACAGUCGGGCCUUGCGCGAUUGGAUAUGCCAAGGUGGGAUUAGCUAGUUGGGGGGGUAAUGGCCUACCAAGGCGACGGUCCCUAGCUGGUCGGAAGGGGAGAACAGCCACACUGGAACAGAGACACGGUCCAGACUCCUACGGGAGGCAGCAGUGGGGAAUAUUGCACAAUGGGGGAAACCCUGAUGCAGCCAUGCCGCGUGUGUGAAGAAGGCCUUCGGGUUGUAAAGCACUUUCAGCGAGGAGGAAAGGUUGAUGCCUAAUACGUAUCAACUGUGACGUUACUCGCAGAAGAAGCACCGGCUAACUCCGUGCCAGCAGCCGCCGUAA
RNAcentral lists this ribosomal RNA (508 nucleotides) under uncultured bacterium. Its description in RNAcentral is "partial 16S ribosomal RNA". It matches the Rfam family "Bacterial small subunit ribosomal RNA", at positions 29 to 523 of the family's 1533-position model. The record is from RNAcentral.